AGUGAACGCUGGCGGUAGGCCUAACACAUGCAAGUCGAACGGCAGCACAGUAAGAGCUUGCUCUUACGGGUGGCGAGUGGCGGACGGGUGAGGAAUACAUCGGAAUCUACUUUUUCGUGGGGGAUAACGUAGGGAAACUUACGCUAAUACCGCAUACGACCUACGGGUGAAAGCAGGGGCUCUUCGGACCUUGCGCGAUUGAAUGAGCCGAUGUCGGAUUAGCUAGUUGGCGGGGUAAAGGCCCACCAAGGCGACGAUCCGUAGCUGGUCUGAGAGGAUGAUCAGCCACACUGGAACUGAGACACGGUCCAGACUCCUACGGGAGGCAGCAGUGGGGAAUAGUGGACAAUGGGCGCAAGCCUGAUCCAGCCAUACCGCGUGGGUGAAGAAGGCCUUCGGGUUGUAAAGCCCUUUUGUUGGGAAAGAAAAGCAGCAGGUUAAUACCCCGCUGUUCUGACGGUACCCAAAGAAUAAGCACCGGCUAACUUCGUG
RNAcentral lists this ribosomal RNA (492 nucleotides) under uncultured bacterium. RNAcentral's name for it is "partial 16S ribosomal RNA". It matches the Rfam family "Bacterial small subunit ribosomal RNA", at positions 29 to 507 of the family's 1533-position model. The record is from RNAcentral.